UUCAGUAGGGAAGAAGCGAAAGUGACGGUACCUGCAGAAGAAGCGCCGGCUGACUACGUGCCAGCAGCCGCGGUAAUACGUAGGGCGCAAGCGUUAUCCGGAAUUAUUGGGCGUAAAGAGCUCGUAGGCGGUUUGUCGCGUCUGCCGUGAAAGUCCGAGGCUCAACUUCGGAUCUGCGGUGGGUACGGGCAGACUAGAGUGAUGUAGGGGAGACUGGAAUUCCUGGUGUAGCGGUGAAAUGCGCAGAUAUCAGGAGGAACACCGAUGGCGAAGGCAGGUCUCUGGGCAUCUACUGACGCUGAGGAGCGAAAGCAUGGGGAGCGAACAGGAUUAGAUACCCCAG
RNAcentral lists this ribosomal RNA (343 nucleotides) under uncultured Paeniglutamicibacter sp. RNAcentral describes it as "bacterial SSU rRNA". It matches the Rfam family "Bacterial small subunit ribosomal RNA", at positions 434 to 790 of the family's 1533-position model. The record is from RNAcentral. Lineage: Bacteria; Bacillati; Actinomycetota; Actinomycetes; Micrococcales; Micrococcaceae.